UUACUGGAAACCGGAGCUAAUACCGGAUAACAUAUUGAACCGCAUGGUUCAAUAGUGAAAGGCGGCUUUGCUGUCACUUAUAGAUGGAUCCGCGCCGUAUUAGCUAGUUGGUAAGGUAACGGCUUACCAAGGCAACGAUACGUAGCCGACCUGAGAGGGUGAUCGGCCACACUGGAACUGAGACACGGUCCAG
This 193-nucleotide ribosomal RNA is filed under the name uncultured Staphylococcus sp. RNAcentral's name for it is "partial 16S ribosomal RNA". It matches the Rfam family "Bacterial small subunit ribosomal RNA", at positions 147 to 334 of the family's 1533-position model. Lineage: Bacteria; Bacillati; Bacillota; Bacilli; Caryophanales; Staphylococcaceae. The record is from RNAcentral.